RNAcentral lists this microRNA precursor (64 nucleotides) under Saccoglossus kowalevskii. RNAcentral's name for it is "Sko-Mir-2007_pre stem-loop". Lineage: Eukaryota; Metazoa; Hemichordata; Enteropneusta; Harrimaniidae. The record is from RNAcentral.
UAUUUCAGGCGUUUAUACUGGUGAUGUUUGUUAUUACUUAUCUCCAGUGUACACCUGAAAUAUA